Molecule: ribosomal RNA, 456 nt
Filed under: uncultured bacterium
Lineage: Bacteria
Description: bacterial SSU rRNA
Rfam family: Bacterial small subunit ribosomal RNA
Source: RNAcentral
AGUAGUUUGAUCCUGGACUCAGAACGAACGCUGGCGGCAUGCCUAACACAUGCAAGUCGAACGAAGCCUUCGGGCUUAGUGGCGCACGGGUGCGUAACGCGUGGGAAUCUGCCCUUGGGUUCGGAAUAACAGUUAGAAAUGACUGCUAAUACCGGAUGAUGUCUUCGGACCAAAGAUUUAUCGCCCAAGGAUGAGCCCGCGUAGGAUUAGGUAGUUGGUGGGGGUAAUGGCCCACCAAGCCGACGAUCCUUAGCUGGUCUGAGAGGAUGAUCAGCCACACUGGGACUGAGACACGGCCCAGACUCCUACGGGAGGCAGCAGUGGGGAAUAUUGGACAAUGGGCGAAAGCCUGAUCCAGCAAUGCCGCGUGAGUGAUGAAGGCCUUAGGGUUGUAAAGCUCUUUUACCAGGGAUGAUAAUGACAGUACCUGGAGAAUAAGCUCCGGCUAACUCCGUG